CACAUGCAAGUCGAACGGCAGCACGGGUGCUUGCACCUGGUGGCGAGUGGCGAACGGGUGAGUAAUACAUCGGAACAUGUCCUGUAGUGGGGGAUAGCCCGGCGAAAGCCGGAUUAAUACCGCAUACGAUCUACGGAUGAAAGCGGGGGACCUUCGGGCCUCGCGCUAUAGGGUUGGCCGAUGGCUGAUUAGCUAGUUGGUGGGGUAAAGGCCUACCAAGGCGACGAUCAGUAGCUGGUCUGAGAGGACGACCAGCCACACUGGGACUGAGACACGGCCCAGACUCCUACGGGAGGCAGCAGUGGGGAAUUUUGGACAAUGGGCGAAAGCCUGAUCCAGCAAUGCCGCGUGUGUGAAGAAGGCCUUCGGGUUGUAAAGCACUUUUGUCCGGAAAGAAAUCCUUGGUUCUAAUAUAGCCGGGGGAUGACGGUACCGGAAGAAUAAGCACCGGCUAACUACGUGCCAGCAGCCGCGGUAAUACGUAGGGUGCGAGCGUUAAUCGGAAUUACUGGGCGUAAAGCGUGCGCAGGCGGUUUGCUAAGACCGAUGUGAAAUCCCCGGGCUCAACCUGGGAACUGCAUUGGUGACUGGCAGGCUAGAGUAUGGCAGAGGGGGGUAGAAUUCCACGUGUAGCAGUGAAAUGCGUAGAGAUGUGGAGGAAUACCGAUGGC
RNAcentral lists this ribosomal RNA (671 nucleotides) under uncultured beta proteobacterium. RNAcentral describes it as "bacterial SSU rRNA". It matches the Rfam family "Bacterial small subunit ribosomal RNA", at positions 52 to 716 of the family's 1533-position model. Lineage: Bacteria; Pseudomonadati; Pseudomonadota; Betaproteobacteria. The record is from RNAcentral.